CAGUUCACAUUAGAUGCUUUGUGGCAUUUCGACCCGCUAAUUCAUGAGAAUCAUCCCUUCCUGCUGRUGCACUGUUCCAUAAAUUCUGAAGCCUCCAUCGACAGUCUGUCAGCGACUCUCCGUGGGGGCCUUCGAAUCUCCAGCAGAGCUCAAGUAAAAAAAAAAAGUCUGUUUAAGUCUCAUCCAGCCUUUGGCAAGAAAACUUCAGUUUCAAGGUUCAGUGAGGACAUUUUCCACUGCUGUAAAAUUAAAAAAAUAAAUAAGAAAUGAUAAUGAUCAGUCUAAUUGGAUGACUCAAGGCUAGCAGCAUAUUGUAAAUCAUGCUUCAUGAGAGCUGCUGCUUUAAACUCACUCAAAUUUAUAUUAAAACUGAAGAUUUGUMUGGAAACACUAUAGCAGACAUGUGYUGAACAAUACAUUUCACUGUGUCACUGUUUGGUUAAUAAAACCUGAGGCAGCAGCAGUGAGCCWGAAGCUAAAUCUUCCCCUCCGUGUAAUCAGGAUGGUAGGGAGCAGCAGGUGGUGUUCAUUAGAGCAACAAUUGUUGCUGCCCAUCAAUCUGACAGAGGGUUCCCAGCUUAUUACCAGGAUUAUUUCACAGCAGAACAGAAGACGUGGACGUCAGUGCAGACGAGGUCAGACUGAAGAAGUUCAAGUGAAAAUAUUAAGGUAAAAACCAGAGUUUUUUGCAGUCUAACUACUGCAACAACAGCAUGGCAAUGCUUAGAAACAUCUGGAAUUCCACUUCCCAUCCAGCGACCAUCCUUUCUAAAAUCUGCACAUUUAGAUAACAGAAAUGGAGAGAAAAGAAACUGAAGACCCUGCAGUCCAGAACCUGAAGGACAGGAUCAUCUGAUGCAUCAUCACAUGUUAUUACUCACAUUACAGCCUCAGGUGCUCAUCUGUUGAAGACAGCGUGUUCUGCUGCAGCGAUCAGGAGAACAGUUUACUCUGAGCAGGGAAUGGCACUGAUCACAGCACCUGACGUUCGAACUGAAAGUCCUACAUCAACAUCUCGGCCACUUAAUGUCACCUGGGGA
Molecule: long non-coding RNA, 1040 nt
Organism: Austrofundulus limnaeus
Lineage: Eukaryota; Metazoa; Chordata; Actinopteri; Cyprinodontiformes; Rivulidae
Exons: 3
Source: RefSeq, a predicted model, not a curated record